UAUCCAUAUGCAUAAUGCAAUGCA
Molecule: non-coding RNA, 24 nt
Filed under: Arabidopsis thaliana (thale cress)
Lineage: Eukaryota; Viridiplantae; Streptophyta; Magnoliopsida; Brassicales; Brassicaceae
Source: RNAcentral